AACUACUAAGUCUUUAACAUUUGUUUUGAAAGCAAAUUUCGAGCUCUUAAGCUCAGUAGUUA
This 62-nucleotide transfer RNA is filed under the name Gammarus pisinnus. RNAcentral's name for it is "tRNA-Ser". Lineage: Eukaryota; Metazoa; Arthropoda; Malacostraca; Amphipoda; Gammaridae. The record is from RNAcentral.